Amborella trichopoda is the source of this 3548-nucleotide non-coding RNA. The record is from RefSeq and is a predicted model, not a curated record. NCBI's taxonomy places the organism in Eukaryota, Viridiplantae, Streptophyta, Magnoliopsida, Amborellales, Amborellaceae.
UAAUUGGUAAAGGUAAAUGGCCUCAAAACAUUAGGCGCGGAUUGGUCCCUCUGUCUCACGUUAAAAAUCAAAAGUGUGGAUUUUUCCUGUUUUUCUCUCAGGUUCAAGAUAGAGGUAACUCAGCUGAGGUAUUGUGGUUUAAACCUGCAACAAAGGAGAAAGAAAAUAGGCAAAUUUACUGGAGCAAUAAGAGUACAGAAAUGUAAUGAGGGACAUCACGUAGAUGUCAGGGUGACAUAUUUUGCAGCCUUGUUCAUUGCAGUGAUGAAUCCAUAAGCCUCAGCUUGGGACAUCAUGUAGAUGUCAUGAUGACAUAUUUUGCAGCCUUGUUCAUUGCAGUGGUGAAUCCAUAAGCCUCAGUUUUUAUCUCCUCUUUCAGAUGCUCCAUUUUCAUGGUCGUUGGAUUUUUUGGCUUAUGUUUAAUUCAACGGUAAUUAGAAGCCUGAGAUAUCAACUCACUUCUCGAAUUUCAGCUAACUUAUUCUCCUUGCCCGGUGAUAAGCCCAGCAUCACUGCAAGUUCUUUUUACUACAAAUCUUUUGCUUAUGUGAUUUCCAACACUUUCUCUCAUCAAUAUGCACCCUCCACUAUGUGCAUCUUAAGUAAAGGAAAUGGUGCUUCAAUUUAUGAAUAUGGGUUCACCGAGAUUCAUCUUUCCCAUCGUCUAUACUCUACAAUGGCAGAGUCCAUUCUUGUUCAAGCUCAAAACCCAUCUCAAUUAGCUCUAGAGCUCUCUGAUGCUGUUGAUGAAAAAAGAUUUGAUGAUGCUUGGAAGGCUUUUAAGCGAUACAAACAGAUGGAAGGGUUCCCAAGAAAAUCAGUGCUAAAUAAGCUCAUAGCUAGUUUAGCAGAGAGUGGUGUUCUGCAAUGGGUCGAUAAAGCUUACAGUCUGGUAGAAAUGGCUUUCGGCGAGGGUAAACAUGAACUGUUGCAUAAAGAGUCUUUGAUAUUUCUAUCAUUUAUUGCUGCAAGGGCUGGACUGCCAGUUCAGGCAUCAACCAUCUUGAGGAAAAUGGUACAAGUAGAGGAAUACCCACCUGUUGAUGCUUGGCUUGGGGUCAUAGCCCACAUGUCUCGAACAGCUCCUGGUGCUUUUCUUGCUGCUGAGAUAGUUCUUGAGCUUGGCCACUUCUUCAAGGACAAUAGGGUGGAUCCCAGAAAGAAAAGUAAUAGUAUCCUUCUCUCUAUGAAACCCAAUACUUUCGCUUUUAAUAUUUCUUUGAUGGGUUCUCUUGUAUAUGGGUUUGCCAGAAAGGCUGAGCAGCUUCUUGAACUGAUUCCACGAAUUGGGGUGAAGCCGGAUGCCUCCUUGCUUAUCACAAUUGCACACAUAUAUGAAAAGAAUGGGAGGAUAGAUGAGAUUAAGAAACUUAGGAGGCAUAUUAAUGAGGCCUGUGGCUUGGGUGAUUUUCAAUACCAGCAAUUCUACAACUGUUACCUCGCAUGCCUACUGAAUUUUGGGGACUUGGGUGCUGCAACUGAGUUGGUUUUAGAAAUUCUUCGGAGGGCCAAGAAGGCUCAGACCUCCUUAGCCACUGCCCAAUCAGUGGUGGAAGCCAUUGCAGCUCAGAAACCCAAACGUCUCCUCCCUAAAGAACAUGACGAGAAUCGAGUUAUCAGUUCUGUUCGGCUAUUUGAAGGUCCAGCUUUAUCUAUCAUGGAGUUUAUAAAGGACCAGAAUUUCUUAAGAAUUCAAGCUGAGGCAAAGGAGCUUCUUGACUCUUUCUCAGCUCAGUUGCAAAACCGAGUUGAACUGGUGAGAACCCAAGACGGUAUCCUGUAUCCUACUGAGAAGAUGUGUGCCAAACUCGUGAAGGCCUUUUUGGAGGUAGAAAAGAUUACUGAUUUGGCUGAGCUUCUUAUUGAGGCUGAUAUGGAAGAAGGUCCAGCCUCACCUGAUAGCUCUUUUAUGGUUCAAGUGAUAAACACAUGCAUAGCUCUCGGUUUCCUCGACCAAGCCCAUGACCUUCUUGAUGAGAUGAGACUUAGUGGACUCAAAACAGGCUCUUUGGUUUACUCGUCACUGCUAAAAGCCUAUUGUAAAGCUAACCGACCCAACGAGGUUGGCUCGCUUCUACGAGAUGCCCAAAAGUGUGGUGUCCAAUUAGAUGCGAGCUGCUAUGAAGCUCUAAUACAAUCCCGGGUUUUGCAGCGAGAUGCAAAAGGGGCCAACAAAUUGUACAAAGUGAUGAAGGAAGCGAAUAUUUCACCUUCCACCCAUCAUGGGUUUGAGAGUUUAGUAAAGGGGUGUGAGGGAAAUGGGGAGCCAAAGCUCAUGGCCAAGUUAUUGGAGGAGAUCAAAAGCGAACAAGGAGCAGAUUGUGGUGUGAUCGAUUGGAACCAUGUGAUACAUUUCUUUUGCAAGAAAGGGUUGAUGCCUGAUGCUCAGAAGGCAUUUAAAAAGAUGGUGGCUUUAGGCCACAAGCCCAAUGCCCAGACUUUCCAUUCUCUGGUUACUGGUUACUCAGCCAUUGGAGGUAAGUACCAUGAGAUAACAGAACUUUGGGGUGUGAUGAAAGUGAUAUCUAGUUCAUCUCCAUUGAAAUUCGACCAGGAGCUUUUGGAUUCUUUGUUGUAUAACUUCGUUAGAGGUGGUUUUUUCCAAAGGGCCAAUGAGGUCAUUAAUUUGAUGGAGAGAGAGGGGAUGUUUAUUGACAAGUACAAGUAUAGGCAACUGUGUUUAAAGUAUCACAAAACUUUAUAUAAGAACAAGAAGGGUUCCAAGUUUCAGACAGAGGCUCAGUACAAGAGGAGGGAAGAAGCUCUGACUUUUAAGAAUUGGGUCGGCUUGGAUUGAAAGAAAUUUCACAGAGUUAGACUGAGAAAUUUGGCGAGGCAAAGGUAGAAUUUGUUGGAUUGAGACUGAAAAGCUAGUAAAAUGCUUUGAGCUGGGUCCAGAUCUACCAUACAAAAUCAAUGGUUCCAACCUCAGUACUGAGCAUAGGCUUGAAUCUGGACCCGCCAUUCAGAAGCUCGCCAACUAAGUCUUUCAAAGGCUUGGAGAAUGUGGUGAAUUGCUCAUGAGAUACUCCUAGCCGACUCCAAAAAGUUGGGAAAAGGCUCAGACAAUGAUGAUGAUACUCCUCUAGACGAUUUAAAAGGGCAGGUCGGUGAUUCAAAAGCUGUGAGCAAUGCCAUAGAGAAGAUUUUUUAAAUCGAAUGGAUAUUAAUGUUAAAAAGGUUGGGAGAUUUGAACCAGUUGCGGUCGACCUUGUACAAAUCAAAGAUAUAGUACAAGGAGAGUUUUUUAUUCCCUUUGAAAAACCAGUAAGGAUUACUAUGUGUCGUGCGGUGGUAAUUGAAUUCUGAAUACAUUGUAUUUAGAUGAAGUUCCAAAUUGUAGUUAAGGAUAAUUGUGAGACUGUUAUAGGAGAUUAGGAUGGACUGUAAGGAUCAACUAUUAUUGUACAUUGCAUUUAAGUGAAGUUUCCGAUUAUAGCACAGGAGUUCCUGUGGGUACCUUGUACAUUGAAUGUAAAUGAGUUAUCUUGCUGCAGUUUAGGAGUGACUGUGGGAUUGUUAGAGGAGAUUCAGAUGGGAAUACAAAU